Molecule: ribosomal RNA, 468 nt
Filed under: uncultured bacterium
Lineage: Bacteria
Description: partial 16S ribosomal RNA
Rfam family: Bacterial small subunit ribosomal RNA
Source: RNAcentral
GACGAACGCUGGCGGCGUGCUUAACACAUGCAAGUCGAACGGAAAGGCCCUGCUUUUGUGGGGUGCUCGAGUGGCGAACGGGUGAGUAACACGUGAGUAACCUGCCCUUGACUUUGGGAUAACUUCAGGAAACUGGGGCUAAUACCGGAUAGGAGCUCCUGCUUCAUGGUGGGGGUUGGAAAGUUUCGGCGGUUGGGGAUGGACUCGCGGGUGAUCAGCUUGUUGGGGGGGUAGUGGCUUACCAAGGCUUUGACGGGUAGCCGGCCUGAGAGGGUGACCGGCCCCAUUGGGACUGAUACACGGCCCAGACUCCUACGGGCGGCAGCAGUGGGGAAUAGUGCAAAAUGGGCGGAAGCCUGAUGCAGCAACGCCGCGUGCGGGAUGACGGCCUGUGGGUUGUAAACCGCUUUCGCCUGUGACGAAGAGUUAGUGACGGUAAUGGGUAAAGAAGCACCGGCUAACUACGUG